Molecule: non-coding RNA, 72 nt
Organism: Schistocerca serialis cubense
Lineage: Eukaryota; Metazoa; Arthropoda; Insecta; Orthoptera; Acrididae
Source: the annotation of a RefSeq genome assembly
GCCAGGGUAGCGUAAUGGUUAGCGCAUCUGCCUAAUGAGCAGGAUACCUAGGUUCGAAUCCUGGCCUUCGUA